Molecule: long non-coding RNA, 658 nt
Filed under: Pan troglodytes (chimpanzee)
Lineage: Eukaryota; Metazoa; Chordata; Mammalia; Primates; Hominidae
Description: long non-coding RNA NONPTRT009853
Source: RNAcentral
GAGAAUGGCGGGAACGCGGGAGGCGGAGGUUUCAGUGAGCCGAGAUCGCGCCACUGCACUGCAGCCUGGUGACAGAGCGAGACUCCGUCUCAAAAAAUAAAAUAAAUAAAAUAAAGUCUGUUAUAUUUCAAAAUCUGAAGACAAAUCACUGUAGUUCAGGAGCUCAGCGUCUUCCUCAGCAGCACUUCCAUGUCAUCUGCCCCGUGAAAUCAGCCUAACGCCGUUUCUCAAUGACGCGGAUCGCCCUAGACCACCGCAACCUUCCGGAAGCUCUCUCAGCUCAGUUCCCAUUCUCCCACCAUCUCUUGGUUCUCCUUCUACCUCACCGGUUGCUAGUCCUCCGCUUCGCAGCUGAAAAUGUGCCCGGGGCCUACCGUGGGCCUAGCCAGGCCUGCUUACGCAGUGCAGUUUCCCAUGAAUAAUGCCCAGUCAUUAUCACAUAACCUGUGGCAAGCCAGCAAGAUGGCCCUGGUGACAGAAAAAGAAACUGCACUAGGACCUGAAUGUAGAUCUAAGUCAUGUUCCUUACUAACAGCACGUUUUACAACCACGCGUUAAAGAAACAUCUGACUCACAACAAAAUUUUAAAGGGUUUAUUUGAGUGAAAAGCAAUUUAUGAAUUGGGGAACACCUGACUGAAAGAGCUUUAGUAUUCCAG